AUUGAACGCUGGCGGCAUGCCUUACACAUGCAAGUCGAACGGCAGCACGGGGCAACCUGGUGGCGAGUGGCGAACGGGUGAGUAAUGCAUCGGAACGUGCCAUUGAGUGGGGGAUAACGUAGCGAAAGUUGCGCUAAUACCGCAUAUUCUGUGAGCAGGAAAGCAGGGGACCGCAAGGCCUUGCGCUCUUUGAGCGGCCGAUGUCAGAUUUAGCUAGUUGGUGAGGUAACGGCUUACCAAGGCGACGAUCUGUAGCGGGUCUGAGAGGAUGAUCCGCCACACUGGAACUGAGACACGGUCCAGACUCCUACGGGAGGCAGCAGUGGGGAAUUUUGGACAAUGGGCGCAAGCCUGAUCCAGCCAUG
This 365-nucleotide ribosomal RNA is filed under the name uncultured bacterium. Its description in RNAcentral is "bacterial SSU rRNA". It matches the Rfam family "Bacterial small subunit ribosomal RNA", at positions 30 to 396 of the family's 1533-position model. The record is from RNAcentral.